UGCCCUCGGUGCAGAUUAGAUCCAACCUGCCAAACAAAGGCUUGCGGGCCGAAUUAGUCCAAUGAAUCCAGGACCAAGAGCAUGCUCGCAGCUGAGCCCAGUCUGAUUAUAUCCAGAACCUUUCAGCUCCAUUUCGUCUGUUGACACUUGAUAGUAGGGUUUACAACGUCCUCCUCCAGGCAAUGGAGCUCGCCAACGCCCGGAGCGCACUCAAGCGCAAACGAGACGACGCCAUUGAACCCUUCGACAACGGCACCGCCGCCACCGCCACCACCGACGCCUCCUCUGUUGACCUCUCUCUCCUGGAGGCCGUAGAGAAGUCACAAACCACUGUGGAAGUUCUCGACCUCAAAACCCUAAAAAGGCUGGUCCUCGCCUUCGAGCGCCGUCUCCGUGACAAUAUCGAAGCCCGUUUGAAAUACCCGGAUCAACCCGAUAAGUUCGCUGACUCCGAAAUUGAGCUCCACGAGGAGAUCCAACGCCUUAAGACCCUCGCCGGUGGCCCUGAACUUUAUCCCGAUUUGGUAAAUCUCAACGUGAUCCCUUCUAUUCUCGGCUUGUUGUCGCACGACAACUCCGACAUCGCCGUCGACGUCGUUGGGCUCCUCCAAGACCUCACGGACGAGGACGUGUUGGAGGACAAUGACGAGCCGGCUAGGGUUUUGGUGGACGCGUUGAUUGAGAAUAAUGUCUUGGAGCUUCUGGUUCAGAAUCUGACCCGGUUGUCGGAGUUCGACCCGGAUGAGAUGGCCGCGGUCUAUGCUACCCUCGCCACCCUUGAGAAUUUGAUUGAGGUGAAGCCGGCUGUGGCGGAGAUGGUGUGCGAGAGGACUAAGCUGAUGCGGUGGCUGUUGGGAAAGAUAAAGGUGAGGGAGUUCGAUAGUAAUAAGCAGUAUGCAUCGGAGAUUUUGGCCAUUUUGUUGCAGAACAGUGCAGCAAAUCAGCGGCGGUUGGGGCAGAUGAAUGGGGUUGAUGUGGUGCUUCAGGCGGUGGCAAUGUACAAGUCACGGGACCCGAAGACGGCAGAUGAGGAGGAGAUGGUGGAGAAUUUGUUUGAUUGCUUGUGUUGCUUGUUGAUGCCGUUGGAGAAUAAAGAAAGAUUCGUCAGAGCUGAGGGGGUUGAGUUGAUGAUCAUUAUUAUGAAGCAGAAGAAGUUGGCUUAUGGCUCCGCCAUAAGAGCACUUGAUUUUGCGAUGACAAAGUAUCCACCCGCAUGCGAGCGGUUUGUGGAUGUGUUGGGUUUGAAGACUGCAUUUGCGGCUUUCAUGGGUAAGAUUCCUAUGAGCAAGAAGAAUAAGAAAGAACGCUACCAAGAAGAGUUAGAAGAGCGUAUUAUAUCAUUGAUUGCAUCAUUAUUUGGUGGAAUCUUGAGGGGUUCUAGAAGGGAUAGAUUGUUGAGUAAGUUUGUGGAAAAUGAGUGUGAAAAGAUAGACCGUCUUAUGGAACUUUACAUAAGAUAUUCGGACAGAGUUAAAGCUGAGACCGAACGGAUGAACCAACUUAAACUUGAUGAUUUAGAGAUGGAUGAAGAUGAAAGAUACAACCGACGGCUGGAGGUUGGACUUUACACUCUUCAGUUGAUUUCAAUCAUUCUGGGUCAUCUUUGGUCUUCUGAGAAUCCCCGGAUGCAAGCGAGAAUUGAACUACUACUCAACCAGCAAAGAAUUACCAAAGAGGACAUCAAAGAUAUACUUCAGGAAUAUCAUGACAACAUUGGAGAUGUUGAUGGACAGGAGGAAAAGGAGCGUGCACAGGCAAAGAUCCAAAAGUUCAUCUCAGCCUUUUGAUCAAUUGAAUGAUUCGUCGGCAGUUCAAACCUUUAAAGGAGGUUUUUGGUCCAGGCAGGGAAGGAAGAAUAUUGUUGGCUUGUUGAUACAACUCAUGGAGGUGAGAAAAGCUUCCAAGGAAACCCAAAAUAGUAGAUUGCAGGAGCAGAGUAUCUUCGGGCGAGGGGAGUUUGGGGGUGGGCUUGCGUGGCCGCUGUAGGCGGUGGUACCACCAUGCAGAAACUGCUGGACAUCGGCUGGACGUGGGGGACAGCACGUGGUGAAUGUCUAUGGCAAACACGGGGUUUGGUGCGGGGCAGUGAAGGGAUGGCUUCGGGCUGAAGUUCAGUUGGUUUUGGCCCUUCUGGGUUUUCUUAAAAUUGUUUUAAUUUUUCAAAUUUUAUUUUCAGUCCUAAGCGCAUAUACAGGUGGAGUGGUGAGGUGGCAACAGGGUACGUGGCAUGUCUUAUGUGUUGUUGGCCUAUGUCACACUGAAUGGGUUGGGCGUCUAUGUGGCAAAUAUUAUUUCUCUGGUUUUUUCACAAUCCGGAUAUGGUUGCAUAGUUCCCCUUCAAUUUUAACUUGUCAUGACUUAAUCAAUAAGAGCGCAAAUCGGACAGGUUUGAUUGA
RNA transcript from Vitis vinifera (wine grape), 2396 nucleotides. RefSeq lists it as uncharacterized. NCBI's taxonomy places the organism in Eukaryota, Viridiplantae, Streptophyta, Magnoliopsida, Vitales, Vitaceae. The transcript is spliced from 9 exons. The record is from RefSeq and is a predicted model, not a curated record.